CAGUCGCCGCGGGAAUGCGGAGGGUGCAAGCGUUAAUCGGAAUUACUGGGCGUAAAGCGUGCGUAGGCGGUUCGUUAAGUCUGUUGUGAAAGCCCCGGGCUCAACCUGGGAAUGGCAAUGGAUACUGGCGAGCUAGAGUGUGUCAGAGGAUGGUGGAAUUCCCGGUGUAGCGGUGAAAUGCGUAGAGAUCGGGAGGAACAUCAGUGGCGAAGGCGGCCAUCUGGGACAACACUGACGCUCAUGCACGAAAGCGUGGGGAGCAAACAGGAUUAGAUACCCCUGUAGUCCCUGUCUCUUAUAC
This 301-nucleotide ribosomal RNA is filed under the name uncultured bacterium. RNAcentral describes it as "partial 16S ribosomal RNA". It matches the Rfam family "Bacterial small subunit ribosomal RNA", at positions 509 to 807 of the family's 1533-position model. The record is from RNAcentral.